RNAcentral lists this ribosomal RNA (483 nucleotides) under uncultured bacterium. RNAcentral describes it as "partial 16S ribosomal RNA". It matches the Rfam family "Bacterial small subunit ribosomal RNA", at positions 30 to 506 of the family's 1533-position model. The record is from RNAcentral.
AUUGAACGCUGGCGGCAGGCCUAACACAUGCAAGUCGAGCGGAUGAAGGGAGCUUGCUCCUGGAUUCAGCGGCGGACGGGUGAGUAAUGCCUAGGAAUCUGCCUGGUAGUGGGGGAUAACGUCCGGAAACGGGCGCUAAUAUCGCAUACGUCCUGAGGGAGAAAGUGGGGGAUCUUCGGACCUCACGCUAUCAGAUGAGCCUAGGUCGGAUUAGCUAGUUGGUGGGGUAAAGGCCUACCAAGGCGACGAUCCGUAACUGGUCUGAGAGGAUGAUCAGUCACACUGGAACUGAGACACGGUCCAGACUCCUACGGGAGGCAGCAGUGGGGAAUAUUGGACAAUGGGCGAAAGCCUGAUCCAGCCAUGCCGCGUGUGUGAAGAAGGUCUUCGGAUUGUAAAGCACUUUAAGUUGGGAGGAAGGGCAGUAAGUUAAUACCUUGCUGUUUUGACGUUACCAACAGAAUAAGCACCGGCUAACUUCGU